AUUGAACGCUGGCGGCAGGCCUAACACAUGCAAGUCGAGCGGCAGCACGGGUACUUGUACCUGGUGGCGAGCGGCGGACGGGUGAGUAAUGCCUAGGAAUCUGCCUGGUAGUGGGGGAUAACGUCCGGAAACGGGCGCUAAUACCGCAUACGUCCUACGGGAGAAAGUGGGGGAUCUUCGGACCUCACGCUAUUAGAUGAGCCUAGGUCGGAUUAGCUAGUUGGUGAGGUAAUGGCUCACCAAGGCGACGAACCGUAACUGGUCUGAGAGGAUGAUGAGGCACACUGGAACUGAGACACGGUCCAGACUCCUACGGGAGGCAGCAGUGGGGAAUAUUGGACAAUGGGCGAAAGCCUGAUCCAGCCAUGCCGCGUGUGUGAAGAAGGUCUUCAGAUUGUAAAGCACUUUAAGUUGGGAGGAAGGGCAGUUACCUAAUCCGUGAUUGUUUUGACGUUACCGACAGAAUAAGCACCGGCUAACUCUGUGCCAGCCGCCGCAGUAA
This 502-nucleotide ribosomal RNA is filed under the name uncultured bacterium. Its description in RNAcentral is "partial 16S ribosomal RNA". It matches the Rfam family "Bacterial small subunit ribosomal RNA", at positions 30 to 523 of the family's 1533-position model. The record is from RNAcentral.